GUCCUAGCCGUAAACGUUGGGUGCUAGGUGUGGGCGGAUAUCGACCCCGUCUGUGCCGAAGCUAACGCAUUAAGCACCCCGCCUGGGGAGUACGGCCGCAAGGCUAAAACUCAAAGGAAUUGACGGGGGCCCGCACAAGCGGCGGAGCAUGUGGCUUAAUUCGAUGCAACGCGAAGAACCUUACCUGGGCUUGACAUGCGGGGUGAAGCCGGUGAAAGCCGGCGCUCUACGGAGCCCGCACAGGUGGUGCAUGGCUGUCGU
Molecule: ribosomal RNA, 261 nt
Filed under: uncultured bacterium
Lineage: Bacteria
Description: partial 16S ribosomal RNA
Rfam family: Bacterial small subunit ribosomal RNA
Source: RNAcentral